GCUGGGCAUGGUGGUGGGUGCCUGUAAUCCCAGCUACUCGGGAGGCUGAGGCAGGAGAAUCGCUUGAACCCAGGAGGUGGAGGUUGCAGUGAGCCGAGAUCACGCCACUGCACUCCAGCCUGGGUAACAGAGCGAUACCCCGUCUCAA
Molecule: signal recognition particle RNA, 148 nt
Filed under: Chlorocebus sabaeus (green monkey)
Lineage: Eukaryota; Metazoa; Chordata; Mammalia; Primates; Cercopithecidae
Description: Metazoan signal recognition particle RNA
Rfam family: Metazoan signal recognition particle RNA
About the family: The signal recognition particle (SRP) is a universally conserved ribonucleoprotein. It is involved in the co-translational targeting of proteins to membranes. The eukaryotic SRP consists of a 300-nucleotide 7S RNA and six proteins: SRPs 72, 68, 54, 19, 14, and 9.
Source: Rfam by way of RNAcentral